AAGGAUUUAAGUUAAAUAUAAACUAGUAACCUUCAAAGUUAUCAAUAAAAAAAUAUUAAGCCUUA
This 65-nucleotide transfer RNA is filed under the name Pyrocoelia pygidialis. RNAcentral's name for it is "tRNA-Trp". Lineage: Eukaryota; Metazoa; Arthropoda; Insecta; Coleoptera; Lampyridae. The record is from RNAcentral.